CCGGCGCACGGGUGAGUAACGCGUAUGCAACCUGCCUGAUACCGGGGUAUAGCCCAUGGAAACGUGGAUUAACACCCCAUAGUACUUUUAUCCUGCAUGGGAUGUGAGUUAAAUGUUCAAGGUAUCGGAUGGGCAUGCGUCCUAUUAGUUAGUUGGCGGGGUAACAGCCCACCAAGACGAUGAUAGGUAGGGGUUCUGAGAGGAAGGUCCCCCACACUGGAACUGAGACGCGGUCCAG
This 238-nucleotide ribosomal RNA is filed under the name uncultured bacterium. RNAcentral describes it as "partial 16S ribosomal RNA". It matches the Rfam family "Bacterial small subunit ribosomal RNA", at positions 95 to 334 of the family's 1533-position model. The record is from RNAcentral.